AGGUACUUGUUCUCUUCACUCUUCGGGAUUCUAUAAGAGAUGUCCAGCAAGCAGCAGAGCUGGGCUUACGAUGUUGUACCAAGCAUGGAAGGAAGCACUGCAAAGCUGACAUCAGCACAAAUACCUGUGGAAACUGCAGGGGGCAAGGCAAUGAGGUGCUACUUCAAGUAGGAUGUGACCAUUUGACAUAUCCUUGCUGACAAUUGAACAAAAUGCUCUAAUACGGCAAAGAAUGAGUGAGUACAUAAUUCUGAUGAAUCUGAUGAAGUAAAACGGGAAAUUUCAAAUAGCUAUGGAUUUUAGAUGAAAAAGAAGGUGCGGGUACCUUUUUGCUAGGCGUAUCUGCUGUCUCCAGGGAGAUUCCACACCAGCACCCGGGACUUCUCAGCCCUGCCCCAGUCUUCACACCACCUUUGAGCUCCAUACCAUGGUUCUGAGUGUGUGAUUCCUUCCAGAAUGGCCGUGUUUUCUUCCGCACUCUGCGAAGUUCCUGUUCUCUCUUCCCCCUGUGCAGACUCCACGAAAGAGCACACACAUUUUGAAAUUUGGAUUUUAUUAAGGCUGCCA
This 567-nucleotide long non-coding RNA is filed under the name Homo sapiens (human). Its description in RNAcentral is "HSALNT0207510". Lineage: Eukaryota; Metazoa; Chordata; Mammalia; Primates; Hominidae. The record is from RNAcentral.